AGACCCGAAACCCGGUGAUCUAGCCAUGGGCAGGUUGAAGGUUGGGUAACACUAACUGGAGGACCGAACCGACUAAUGUUGAAAAAUUAGCGGAUGACCUGUGGCUGGGGGUGAAAGGCCAAUCAAACCGGGAGAUAGCUGGUUCUCCCCGAAAGCUAUUUAGGUAGCGCCUCGUGAAUUCAUCUCCGGGGGUAGAGCACUGUUUCGGCUAGGGGGCCAUCCCGGCUUACCAACCCGAUGCAAACUGCGAAUACCGGAGAAUGUUAUCACGGGAGACACACGGCGGGUGCUAACGUCCGUCGUGAAGAGGGAAACAACCCAGACCGCCAGCUAAGGUCCCAAAGUCAUGGUUAAGUGGGAAACGAUGUGGGAAGGCCCAGACAGCCAGGAUGUUGGCUUAGAAGCAGCCAUCAUUUAAAGAAAGCGUAAUAGCUCACUGGUCGAGUCGGCCUGCGCGGAAGAUGUAACGGGGCUAAACCAUGCACCGAAGCUGCGGCAGCGACGCUUAUGCGUUCGUUGGGUAGGGGAGCGUUCUGUAAGCCUGUGAAGGUGG
Molecule: ribosomal RNA, 553 nt
Filed under: Salmonella enterica subsp. enterica serovar Kedougou
Lineage: Bacteria; Pseudomonadati; Pseudomonadota; Gammaproteobacteria; Enterobacterales; Enterobacteriaceae
Description: partial 23S ribosomal RNA
Rfam family: Bacterial large subunit ribosomal RNA
Source: RNAcentral